UACGGAGGGCGCAAGCGUUGUUCGGAAUCACUGGGCGUAAAGCGCGUGUAGGCGGCCGGGCAAGUCGGGUGUGAAAGCCCCGGGCUCAACCUGGGAAUUGCAUUCGAGACUGCAUUGCUGGAGUACGGAAGAGGAGGGCGGAAUUCCCGGUGUAGCGGUGAAAUGCGUAGAUAUCGGGAGGAACAUCAGUGGCGAAGGCGGCCCUCUGGUCCAGUACUGACACUCAAGUGCGAAAGCGUGGGGAGCAAACAGG
RNAcentral lists this ribosomal RNA (253 nucleotides) under uncultured bacterium. Its description in RNAcentral is "partial 16S ribosomal RNA". It matches the Rfam family "Bacterial small subunit ribosomal RNA", at positions 524 to 776 of the family's 1533-position model. The record is from RNAcentral.